Molecule: ribosomal RNA, 423 nt
Filed under: uncultured bacterium
Lineage: Bacteria
Description: bacterial SSU rRNA
Rfam family: Bacterial small subunit ribosomal RNA
Source: RNAcentral
UCUUCCGCAAUGGACGAAAGUCUGACGGAGCAACGCCGCGUGAGUGGUGAAGGUUUUCGGACCGUAAAACACUGUUUUUAGGGAAGAACAAGUACCGUUCGAAUAGGGCGGCACCUUGACGGUACCCAACGAGAAAGCCACGGCUAACUACGUGCCAGCAGCCGCGGUAAUACGUAGGUGGCAAGCGUUGUCCGGAACUAUUGGGCGUAAAGCGCGCGCAGGCGGUUUCUUAAGUCUGAUGUGAAAGCCCCCGGCUCAACCGGGGAGGGUCAUUGGAAACUGGGGAACUUGAGUGCAGAAGAGGAGAGUGGAAUUCCACGUGUAGCGGUGAAAUGCGUAGAGAUGUGGAGGAACACCAGUGGCGAAGGCGACUAUCUGGUCUGUAACUGACGCUGAGGCGCGAAAGCGUGGGGAGCGAACAGG